CGCCCCCCCCCUCCGUGUCCGGGCGCUCCCCUCACCUCGAACAUAAGCCCGAUGAGGACGCAGAGCACCAGGCAGAAGCCGAUAUCAGCAUGGUUGUGAAUGACGAACUCCUGACUGAAGAGCGGGUGCUCUCCAAGCAACCAUGGUUUUGUGGGUUCUACCAUGUACAUUUAGUCUUCAGAUUUCCAAGAAUUUUAUCACACUUGCAAGAGCCUUUCUGUUUCCCUCUCCUAUACCUUACAAAAUGGUGUGAAGAAAGAAGAAAAGAGGAUACUUUCAACCAUCUUCUAGCAAUUAUGCUUACUAUAUUCUCUCCCCAAUUAAAGACUUUUUAAAAAAGAUAUUUUAUUUUACUAAUUAUAUGUAAUAACAAUUUUUUCAACAUAAAUUUUCUGAAGUUAUAA
Monodelphis domestica (gray short-tailed opossum) is the source of this 404-nucleotide long non-coding RNA. RefSeq lists it as uncharacterized. Lineage: Eukaryota; Metazoa; Chordata; Mammalia; Didelphimorphia; Didelphidae. The record is from RefSeq and is a predicted model, not a curated record.